This 72-nucleotide transfer RNA is filed under the name Salvia splendens (bonfire salvia). It matches the Rfam family "tRNA". From Rfam's summary of the family: Transfer RNA (tRNA) molecules are approximately 80 nucleotides in length. Their secondary structure includes four short double-helical elements and three loops (D, anti-codon, and T loops). The record is from Rfam by way of RNAcentral. Lineage: Eukaryota; Viridiplantae; Streptophyta; Magnoliopsida; Lamiales; Lamiaceae.
GCGUUUGUAGUCCAACUUUUAGGAUAAUUGCCUUCCAAGCAAUAGACUCAGGUUCGACUCCCAACAAACGCA